Molecule: unclassified non-coding RNA, 387 nt
Filed under: soil metagenome
Description: partial contains 5.8S ribosomal RNA, internal transcribed spacer 2, and large subunit ribosomal RNA
Rfam family: 5.8S ribosomal RNA (bases 1-120)
Source: RNAcentral
GAUGAAGAACGUAGCGAAAUGCGAUAAGUAAUGUGAAUUGCAGACUUAAGUGAAUCAUCGAAUCUUUGAACGCACCUUGCACCCUUUGGCAUUCCGAAGGGUAUGCUCGUUUGAGUGUCAUUGUACUCUCACACUCUCCGAUCCUAUGGAUUCGGGGAGCGGUGGACUUGGGUGUUGCUGCCUUUCCCUGUGGCUCACCUCAAAUGCGUCAGUGCACCUCUUGGUUGGACAUAGUACGGCGUGAUAAGUGUCUUCGCCGGCACCUCGCAAGAGGGUGGCCGAUCGGGAGCUCUGCGCUUUCAAACCGUCUUCGGACAAUUUCUGACAUCUUGACCUCAAAUCGAGUAGGACUACCCGCUGAACUUAAGCAUAUCAAUAAGCGGAGGA